Molecule: ribosomal RNA, 455 nt
Filed under: uncultured bacterium
Lineage: Bacteria
Description: SSU rRNA
Rfam family: Bacterial small subunit ribosomal RNA
Source: RNAcentral
AGGAUAAACGCUGGCGGCGUGCCUAACGCAUGCAAGUCGAACGCCCUACGCAAGUAGGGAGUGGCGGACGGGUGAGGAACACGUGGGGAUCUGCCCAGAGGUGAGGAAUACCGGCGAGAAAUCGCCGACAAUACCGCAUAGCCUUCUCACGAAGGAAAGUCGCAAGACGCCUAUGGAUGAACCUGCGUCCGAUUAGUUUGUUGGUGGGGUAAUGGCCUACCAAGACAACGAUCGGUAGCUGGUCUGAGAGGACGAUCAGCCACACUGGGAUUGAGAACGGCCCAGACUCCUACGGGGGGCAGCAGUGAGGAAUUUUCGUCAAUGGGGGGCAAACCCUGAACGAGCAACGCCGCGUGCAGGAAGAAGGUUUUCGGAAUCGUAAAACUGCUUUUCUGUGGGAAGAGAACGGACGGUACCACAGGAAGAAGCCCCGGCUAACUACGCGCAGCAGCCGC